This 993-nucleotide long non-coding RNA is filed under the name Salmo salar (Atlantic salmon). RNAcentral's name for it is "lncRNA (ENSSSAG00000106873.1, ENSSSAG00020021340.1, ENSSSAG00075018390.1)". Lineage: Eukaryota; Metazoa; Chordata; Actinopteri; Salmoniformes; Salmonidae. The record is from RNAcentral.
GGAAAUUUCCAGACACGAGUCCAGCGUGUGACUGGGAGCGCACCUUUCUUGUUUGUCCUUUUCUACUGAUGAAGCUAUUGUCCGGUUUAAAUUUGAUCGAUUAUUUAUGACAAAAACAACCUGAGGAUUGAUUAUAAACAGCGUUUGACAUGUUUCUACGAACUUUUAUGGUAAAAAGAGGAAAGAAAAUAAAGCACGGGGUCGACUCGUGCAUGCGCCUAAGCCCAUUGUCCUCUGAUCGGCCACUUGCCAAAAGCGUAAAUGUGUUUCAGCCUGGGGCUGCCUCGAUAUCAUUCAGCUUUUUCCCGGGCUCUGAGAGCCUAUGGGAGCCGUAGGAAGUGUCACGUUACAGCAAAGAUCCUCAGUCUUCAAUAAAAAGAGCCAAGAUGAACAACAACUUGUCAGACAGGCCACUUCCUUCGUUACAGAAUCCCCCACCAACAACGGACCAAGCAGCGGAGGAAGGAGCAGCGCCAGGAGGAGCAAGAAUCCUGGACCAGGGAGAGAAAAGACUGGACAUGGGAGGACAUCCUGGAAGGCAAGGGAUCCUACACUUGGGAGGAGAUCCUGGUCGGAAGGGAUCGCCUCACAUGGGAACAGGUAGAGGCACUCAGAAGAGUGGAGGCAGCAGGAAAAAAGGACCAAAUGUAUGAGGGAACACGGCUGGGUAGGAAGCCCGAGAGGCACACGGGGAGUGUGGCAGAGUCAGGUUGGAGACCUGAGCCAGCUCCCCGUGCUUACAGGAGGCAGCGCAGUACUGGUCAGACACCGUGUUAUGCGGUAAAGCGCACGGUGUCCCCAGUACGCGUGCAGAGCCCGGUGCGCUACAUCCCAGCUCCUAACAUCUGCCGGGGGAGGUUGGGCAUCGAGCCAGGGCAGGUUGUGCAGGCCGUGCGCUCUAGACCUCCAGUGCGUCUUCUGGACCCGGUCCGUCCUGUGCCUCCUCCUAGGACUAGGCCUCCAGUGGGUCUCCCUAUCCUGGUCUGUCCUGUG